GAGUUUGAUCAUGGCUCAGAACGAACGCUGGCGGCGCGUUUUAAGCAUGCAAGUCGAGCGGCAAGGGUAGCAAUACCCCUAGAGCGGCGGACGGGUGAGUAACACGUGGACAACCUGCCCUUAGGUGAGGGAUAGCCCAGGGAAACCUGGAUUAAUACCUUAUAAGACCACUGAUAGGAGUGUGAGUGGGGAAAGGUGCUACGGCGCCGCCUGAGGAUGGAUCUGCGUCCCAUUAGCUAGAUGGCAGGGUAAAGGCCUACCAUGGCGACGAUGGGUAGCCGGCCUGAGAGGGUGAACGGCCACACUGGAACUGAGAGACGGUCCAGACUCCUACGGGAGGCAGCAGCUAAGAAUCUUCCGCAAUGGGCGCAAGCCUGACGGAGCGACGCCGCGUGAACGAUGAAGGCCGCAAGGUUGUAAAGUUCUUUUCGGGAAGGAGAAUAAGGGGAGCAGGCAAUGGCUUUCCGAUGCCGUGAAUCCCGGAAUAAGCCCCGGCUAACUACGUGCCAGCAGCCGCGGUAACACGUAGGGGGCGAGCGUUGUUCGGAAUCAUUGGGCGUAAAGGGCGCGCAGGCGGCGUAUAAAGUCUGGCGUGAAAGUCCCCGGCUCAACCGGGGGAUAGCGUUGGAAACUGGUAUGCUUGAGUACGAGGGGGGAU
This 658-nucleotide ribosomal RNA is filed under the name uncultured Bacillota bacterium. Its description in RNAcentral is "bacterial SSU rRNA". It matches the Rfam family "Bacterial small subunit ribosomal RNA", at positions 9 to 659 of the family's 1533-position model. Lineage: Bacteria; Bacillati; Bacillota. The record is from RNAcentral.